This 91-nucleotide non-coding RNA is filed under the name bovine gut metagenome. RNAcentral describes it as "S10-Clostridia ribosomal protein leader". It matches the Rfam family "S10-Clostridia ribosomal protein leader". The record is from RNAcentral.
UGAUAGCUAUGAAACGUGAGGUUGCUGCUAUCGGGUGAUCGAUAGCAGGUUUUCCGUGGAGCGAAUGUCAAGUUCAGAAAACUGACGACAA